Molecule: ribosomal RNA, 468 nt
Filed under: uncultured bacterium
Lineage: Bacteria
Description: partial 16S ribosomal RNA
Rfam family: Bacterial small subunit ribosomal RNA
Source: RNAcentral
GACGAACGCUGGCGGCGUGCUUAACACAUGCAAGUCGAACGGAAAGGCCCUGCUUUUGUGGGGUGCUCGAGUGGCGAACGGGUGAGUAACACGUGAGUAACCUGCCCUUGACCUUGGGAUAACUUCAGGAAACUGGGGUUAAUACCGGAUAGGAGCUCCUGCUGCAUGGUGGGGGUUGGAAAGUUUCGGCGGUUGGGGAUGGACUCGCGGCUUAUCAGCUUGUUGGUGGGGUAGUGGCUUACCAAGGCUUUGACGGGUAGCCGGCCUGGGAGGGUGACCGGCCACAUUGGGACUGAGAUACGGCCCAGACUCCUACGGGAGGCAGCAGUGGGGAAUAUUGCACAAUGGGCGGAAGCCUGAUGCAGCAACGCCGCGUGCGGGAUGACGGCCUUCGGGUUGUAAACCGCUUUCGCCUGUGACGAAGCGUGAGUGACGGUAAUGGGUAAAGAAGCACCGGCUAACUACGUG